RNAcentral lists this transfer RNA (73 nucleotides) under Mycoplasma sp. Its description in RNAcentral is "tRNA-Thr". It matches the Rfam family "tRNA". Rfam says of the family: Transfer RNA (tRNA) molecules are approximately 80 nucleotides in length. Lineage: Bacteria; Bacillati; Mycoplasmatota; Mollicutes; Mycoplasmatales; Mycoplasmataceae. RNAcentral also lists the same sequence under 1 other name. The record is from RNAcentral.
GCCCUAUUAGCUCAAUUGGUAGAGCAAUUGAUUUGUAAUCAAUAGGUUAGGGGUUCAACUCCUCUAUAGGGCU